AUAUAUUCUUGGCCUUUUGGUUAAGAUCAAAGUGUAGUAUCUGUUCUUAUCAGCUUAAUAUGUGAUACGAUCCCUAUUUGGGACCAUCGAUAUUAAACUGAUUUUUAGAACGAGGCGAAGAGUUAGGGGCUUGCUCCGCCUUUGCCACGGGUUGGCCUGGUAUAGCAGUUCAAUGAUAUACAUAUACAAU
Molecule: small nuclear RNA, 190 nt
Filed under: Octopus vulgaris (common octopus)
Lineage: Eukaryota; Metazoa; Mollusca; Cephalopoda; Octopoda; Octopodidae
Also listed under: 1 other name
Description: U2 spliceosomal RNA
Rfam family: U2 spliceosomal RNA
About the family: U2 is a small nuclear RNA (snRNA) component of the spliceosome (involved in pre-mRNA splicing).
Source: Rfam by way of RNAcentral